AGUGAACGCUGGCGGUAGGCCUAACACAUGCAAGUCGAACGGCAGCACAGUAAGAGCUUGCUCUUACGGGUGGCGAGUGGCGGACGGGUGAGGAAUACAUCGGAAUCUACUUUUUCGUGGGGGAUAACGUAGGGAAACUUACGCUAAUACCGCAUACGCCCUACGGGUGAAAGCAGGGGAUCUUCGGACCUUGCGCGAUUGAAUGAGCCGCUGUCGGAUUAGCUAGUUGGCGGGGUAAAGGCCCACCAAGGCGACGAUCCGUAGCUGGUCAGAGAGGAUGGUCAGCCACAUGAGAACUUGGACACGGUCAAGGCUCCUGAGGGAGGGAGCAGAGGGGAAUAGUAGACAAUGGGCGCGAGCCUGAUCCAGCCAUACCGAGUGGGUGAAGGAGACCUUCGGGUUGUAAAGACCUUUUGUUGGGAGAGAAAAGCAGCAGGUUAAUACCCCGCUGUUCUGACGGUACCCAAAGAAUAAGCACCGGCUAACUUCGUG
Molecule: ribosomal RNA, 492 nt
Filed under: uncultured bacterium
Lineage: Bacteria
Description: partial 16S ribosomal RNA
Rfam family: Bacterial small subunit ribosomal RNA
Source: RNAcentral